Molecule: non-coding RNA, 124 nt
Organism: Hordeum vulgare subsp. vulgare (domesticated barley)
Lineage: Eukaryota; Viridiplantae; Streptophyta; Magnoliopsida; Poales; Poaceae
Source: Rfam
AAAGUACUCCCUCCGUUCAGAAAUACUUGUCCUAAAAAUGGAUAUAAUGGAUGUAUCUAUAACUAAAAUAAGUCUAAAUACAUUCAUCUUUAGGACAAGUAUUUUAGGACGGAGGUGAUAUAUG